GGGGAUUAGUGGCGAACGGGUGAGUMACACGUGAGUAACCUGCCCUUGWCUCUGGGAUAAGCCUGGGAAACUGGGUCUAAUACCGGAUAUGACUBWCUAUCGCAUGGUGGUUGGUGGAAAGCUUUUGUGGUUUUGGAUGGACUCGCGGCMUAUCAGCUUGUUGGDGAGGUAAUGGCUUMCCAAGGCGACGACGGGUAGCCGGCCUGAGAGGGUCACCGSCCACACUGGGACUGAGACACGGCCCAGWCUCCUACGGGAGGCAGCAGUGGGGAAUAUUGCACAAUGGGCGCAAGCCUGAUGCAGCGACGCCGCGUGAGGGAUGACSGCCUUCGGGUUGUAAACCUCUUUCAGUAGGGAAGAAGCGAGAGUGA
Molecule: ribosomal RNA, 371 nt
Filed under: Arthrobacter sp. UAPS0102
Lineage: Bacteria; Bacillati; Actinomycetota; Actinomycetes; Micrococcales; Micrococcaceae
Description: partial 16S ribosomal RNA
Rfam family: Bacterial small subunit ribosomal RNA
Source: RNAcentral